UAAGUGUGAAGCCCACCUCAAGAUGAGAUUUCCCAUUUCUUUAAGAAAGUAAGAUCCCUGAGAGAUGAUCAGGUAGAUAGGUCAGAAGUGGAAGGCCAGUGAUGGUUGGAGCGGACUGAUACUAAUCGAUCGAGGACUUAACCAA
This 145-nucleotide ribosomal RNA is filed under the name Enterococcus casseliflavus. RNAcentral describes it as "23S rRNA. Bacterial LSU". It matches the Rfam family "Bacterial large subunit ribosomal RNA", at positions 2782 to 2925 of the family's 2925-position model. The record is from RNAcentral. Lineage: Bacteria; Bacillati; Bacillota; Bacilli; Lactobacillales; Enterococcaceae.